Molecule: long non-coding RNA, 599 nt
Organism: Arachis stenosperma
Lineage: Eukaryota; Viridiplantae; Streptophyta; Magnoliopsida; Fabales; Fabaceae
Exons: 3
Source: RefSeq, a predicted model, not a curated record
AAUUGCCCGAUCCCUGAUUCUUCACACACUAUCACCACUCAUACCUCAGCCAUUUGUACCGGCAGUCUCGUUCGUGCACACAUUCUUUAAAUCUUGAUCUUGGUCUGUGAUCUCAACAACCUCUCUCAAACACACUAACCGCCAAACUUUCACCUUCGCAACACCACAACACCACACCUCCGCGCGUACACUGUUGCCGGAUUUUGUUGUUGUCGCCGUUGCCAACCGUUGUUGCUGCUCCUCUGUUUUUUUCUGGAGGCCAAACUUGCUGCUCGUUGCUCGUCUUGCUCUCCAUGGCCACUAUUUGAAGUACAACAUACCACAAUUGGCAAAAAGAUACAAGGUGUAUGCCUUAGACUUGAUUGGAUUUGGCUGGAGUGACGAAAAACUUAUUGAAUAUGAUGCCAUGGUAUGGAGGGAUAAAGUGGUAGACUUCGUGAAGGAAAUAGUUAAAGAACCAUCAGUUUUAAUUGAAAAUAGAUAAUUGACUAUAAUACUUGUACCAAUUUUUUUUAGUAGAUUGUAUCUAAUUUUAAAUAGACACACAAGAUAAAUUAAGCGCUGGUAGCUGCAUAAUCUUAAAAGAUAACUAAUGUGAA